This 497-nucleotide ribosomal RNA is filed under the name uncultured bacterium. Its description in RNAcentral is "partial 16S ribosomal RNA". It matches the Rfam family "Bacterial small subunit ribosomal RNA", at positions 28 to 507 of the family's 1533-position model. The record is from RNAcentral.
GAUGAACGCUGGCGGCGUGCCUAAUACAUGCAAGUCGAGCGAACAGACGAGGAGCUUGCUCCUCUGACGUUAGCGGCGGACGGGUGAGUAACACGUGGAUAACCUACCUAUAAGACUGGGAUAACUUCGGGAAACCGGAGCUAAUACCGGAUAAUAUAUUGAACCGCAUGGUUCAAUAGUGAAAGACGGUUUUGCUGUCACUUAUAGAUGGAUCCGCGCCGCAUUAGCUAGUUGGUAAGGUAACGGCUUACCAAGGCAACGAUGCGUAGCCGACCUGAGAGAGUGAUAGGCCACACGAGAACUGAGCCACGGUCAAGACUACUACGGGAGGCAGCAGUAGGGUAUCGGACGCAGUGGGCGGAAGCAUGGCGGAGCAACGCCGAGUGAGUGAUGAAGGUCUUCGGAUCGUAAAGCUCUGUUAUUAGGGAAGAACCAAUGUGUAAGUAAAUAUGCACGUCUUGACGGUAACUAGUAAGAAAGCAACGGCUAACUACGUG